UCCUGGAAAUUCUGCUUUACAUGUAGAUAUUCAGUGUGUAAACCUGAACAGAUUGUACAUUUUAAGCAGUAAUUCUUUGAGGACUAGUAAAAAUGUAUUCUUUGUCUUGCAAAGAAAUUUUUCUAUCCUUUUCCGAAAGGAGUGAUGAGCUUCUCCUAUUAAUGAGAACAAGAGAAAGGGAGACGGGGAGUGGCAGAACUGACAUCUGUAGCUCCUGCAUCUGAAAUGGGUUCCAUUAUUUAUUUUAUAUAACCAGAAAAUCUUCUUUUGAGGAAGGAGAAAUGGAGCAGGCUGCGGAGAAUGGAAGAAUCAUGAUUUCGUUCCAAGGAAAGUGAAGGAGGAAAAACAAAGUUCUGCCAACAGAAAGACAGUGUUCUAUGUCCUCUGUCACUUCCGCUGCCAUCCCACCUACUACGGUGGAAUCCCUAAGGGAAACAGAAGUAACAAGAAGAGCAAAAAUAAUGCAACAGCAAUGUGACUGGGAUGACUGCUAUGCUAGCUAACACCAGGGACUGAUCUGGGGAACUUCCAGAACUUAAAAGCAUGACCCCUUUUAUAACCUGACCCGAGUGGGACCAUGGUGCUGAAAGGAGCACAGAAGAGGAGGCAGGAGAGUUGGAAGGAAAGCUGAACCCUGCUUUUCCCAUUAUGUAUAUUUUAUGGACAGGUGGUCUCCUUAGUGGCCUUGUUGCAAAAAGCGAGAAGGAUUUUGUCUUUCUAACCUUAUCAGCACUUAUUGCUUUAGGUUUUUUUUUUGUUUGAUUGUGUUUUGGGUGGUUGUUUUUGUGUUGUUGGAUUUUUUAUUUGUUUGUUCAUUUGUUUUGAAUAAAAAUCUGUUGAUGCAGAAUGUAUCAUGUAGAAUAAAACAGUAAGUUGCUCUGAG
Molecule: long non-coding RNA, 883 nt
Organism: Corvus hawaiiensis (hawaiian crow)
Lineage: Eukaryota; Metazoa; Chordata; Aves; Passeriformes; Corvidae
Exons: 3
Source: RefSeq, a predicted model, not a curated record